GUUUUGCUCUGUGGAUAAUGAGUUUUACUUGGCAUAUUAAUUUAUGUCACUUCAUUUCAACUUAACAAUUUUUUAUUUUAUUGAGAUACAUUCUUUCUACUUUUAUAUUUGUUUUUUAAAUUUUCUCUAGUUGAAAUGUUUGGUUUUUCUUUCUCCCCCCUUCCUUCUUUACCAAUCGUAAGCUUUAUUGUUAGUUUUACCCUUGUUCAACACAGGAGAUUGCAAGUUCCCUUUUCCCCUGCUCUGUACUUUCUCUGGCUCCCCACUGUUUUAGAGUUAACUCACUUGGCUUAUGAAUCUCAAGCCCCAUGCUGUAUAACUUUAGGCUCUGAACUCUCCAUUCUUUAAUAUGUAUAGCUGGUAUAUUUGGGGCAGAAGCCAUAAGAAGCAUGCUGUGAACCCAAAGAGACUGAUGAGAAAAUUCAUACCAGAGGAGGGACUUUCUAUACAAAUACCCUUGGCCUUGAC
This 468-nucleotide long non-coding RNA is filed under the name Marmota monax (woodchuck). Lineage: Eukaryota; Metazoa; Chordata; Mammalia; Rodentia; Sciuridae. The record is from RNAcentral.